UCCUCACUGACAUCAAUCUACCUUGCCACCCUCUGUAAGGCUGAUGAUAUCAAAAAGUUUGAUUAUAGUGCUGUUUUACACCCACUAUUAAAAUAACUUGGCAGCCUAGAAGAGGAUGGACUUUACAUUCCUUCAUUAGCCAUACAUGUCAAAGGUACUGUGUAUUAGGUUGUUGCAGAUAACCUUGGUGCCCACUCUAUUGGAGGAUUUGUGGAGAGCUUCUCUAGUACACGUCUGCAGGUUCUGUCUUGGAUAAAGAUCCCAGUUUCAAGAAAAGCACCAGUUAAUGGGUGCAUACCAUCUACGUGCCAGUAAGAUUGUUCAACCAUCUCUACAGGUAACAAAACUGUCAACAGUGGAUUUGAGUGUGCUGAGGGAAGACAUUAAGAACGCACUGGAAACCAAAUUCCCUGAUAAAUGAAGAAUUCAGAAGGAUCACCACUAUUAACCUGGAGCCAACGUUCAUGGCAAACUGGACCAGUACACACUAAAAAUAAUGUCCUUGGUGUCCUUAAGAGGAGGGAUUUCAAAAAUGAAGAUUCAGCGCAUAAGAAACAUGCUG
This is a long non-coding RNA of Esox lucius (northern pike), 562 nucleotides long. The record is from Ensembl. Lineage: Eukaryota; Metazoa; Chordata; Actinopteri; Esociformes; Esocidae.